Molecule: ribosomal RNA, 422 nt
Filed under: uncultured bacterium
Lineage: Bacteria
Description: bacterial SSU rRNA
Rfam family: Bacterial small subunit ribosomal RNA
Source: RNAcentral
UCGGGAAUUUUGGGCAAUGGGCGAAAGCCUGACCCAGCAACGCCGCGUGAGUGACGAAGGCCUUAGGGUUGUAAAACUCUUUCGUCGGGGACGAUAAUGACGGUACCCGAAGAAGAAGCUCCGGCUAACUUCGUGCCAGCAGCCGCGGUAAUACGAAGGGAGCUAGCGUUGUUCGGAAUCACUGGGCGUAAAGCGCACGUAGGCGGAUAGUUAAGUCAGGGGUGAAAUCCUGGGGCUCAACCCCAGAACUGCCUUUGAUACUGGCUGUCUCGAGGUCGAGAGAGGUUGGUGGAAUUCCUAGUGUAGAGGUGAAAUUCGUAGAUAUUAGGAAGAACACCAGUGGCGAAGGCGGCCAACUGGCUCGAUACUGACGCUGAGGUGCGAAAGCGUGGGGAGCGAAACAGGAUUAGAUACCCCCGUAG